RNAcentral lists this long non-coding RNA (569 nucleotides) under Monodelphis domestica (gray short-tailed opossum). RNAcentral's name for it is "lncRNA (ENSMODG00000045355.1)". Lineage: Eukaryota; Metazoa; Chordata; Mammalia; Didelphimorphia; Didelphidae. The record is from RNAcentral.
GCCUCCACAAUUUCCAUAUUCUAUGCCUUGCCCUCCUGAGGCUUCCUUCAUUAUACAUUACAGAAAGGGGGAAUGAUUAAAAUGAGGGAGAAAAGCUCCCGUAAAUAUUAAUGCCAUAUGUAAAUUGGUAAUGAUCAGCAGUCAGCUGUAGAACUUGACAGAAACUUAGCUCUUCCUUGUGAUUAUCAAUAACCAAUUUUCCUCCAUAGCAUUUCUUUUCCCCACGAUCCUCCCAUAGAAUUCACCUAUAGAUUGCAAAUCUCUCUCGCCAUGCUAAGAUUAUCUUUCUUACUACCAAUUCUUUCUAGGCUCCAUCAUUUCUUUCCUAUCGUCUUCUGAUUCGACUUUGAGACAACCCAGCACUCUGGAAUCUUUGCUGCAUCUUCUCCAAUGAACAGAUGUUCCUUUCCAUCCUCUUAACAAGCCAUCGAGGUCAGCAUACACUUUGUGCCCUUGACUACAGAAAGGCGAGCCAGUCACUCUACCCACACCUGAAUCUAUGUCUGCAGUGCACCUAGCAUCAGGGAUGGUGAGUUAUAUUUUUUCCUUGGUGAUUGUUUUUAUACUGC